UUAGGCCUCUUUCCCUCUUUCACUUCCUUACCCUCUUUCCCUAGUUUCAGUUGGAUUUAGUAAUUAGAAACCUAACCUAUACUGAAGAGAUCGGCUGUGAAAGAACUCAGAGAAGUGAGAACUGAGAAACCUAAGUACUAGAGUGCAAUAAAGACGACGUCACAUUUCAUUCUUCAAUCUUCAACAGAUGGUAGAUGAAAUUAGAGUAAGUGAUGCCGGUUCAAGUGAAAGUUUAUCUAUUACUGAAGAUAGCAACACCAACACCAUUGAUACUCAAGAUACUAAGAGAAGAAAAGCCAUGCAACCUAGAUCCGACGUUUGGCAUCAUUUUGAUAAAUUUGAGAUAUGGAAAAUAAUGGAAGCACUACUAGCAUGGUUUGAACUUUGAUGUAUAGUUGCAACUUGCAAUUUGAGUGGUUCAAGUGCAAUCAUGCCCCGUGCUCCUAAAGUACGCUCUCAUAUUUGGAAAGACUUUGAGGUGAAAGAAGAUAACAGAGAAGUUCACGAAGUAGAGUGCAAGCAUUGUGUCGAGUCUAUAAUGUUCAUCCAAAGAGGGAUGGCACAUAUUGUUUGAGGAAGCAUAUUUGGCAUUGUCUUGAGCGUCUUCUUGAAAUCCGUAUUUAAGAAUUAAGACUAAGUUGAUUCAAGACUAUUACUGUAAACUUGAAUUGAGGGAUGCCCUCUCUAUUUUUGUUGCACUGUGUUUAAUUCUGCUACUACUGUUAGAGUCUGCUGCUACUGUUGCACUGUUAAGACUAAGUUAAUUCAGUUGCUACUGUUGCACGGUUAGAGUCUAUUUUUGUUUAAUCCUGUUGCACUGUGUUAAACUUGAAUUGUGGCUAUUUGUGAGUCA
This is a long non-coding RNA of Nicotiana attenuata, 853 nucleotides long. RefSeq lists it as uncharacterized. The transcript has 4 exons. The record is from RefSeq and is a predicted model, not a curated record. NCBI's taxonomy places the organism in Eukaryota, Viridiplantae, Streptophyta, Magnoliopsida, Solanales, Solanaceae.